CAUUGCAUUUUGUCUCCCUGUUAAAGGAAACACAUACGCCAUAGAUUAAUGUCCACUUGAAAUGAUAAAACUUCGAGCUGGCCCGAGAAUAAAGCCUUAAAAGUGUUUCAGGGCUGUAUGAACCAGUGAUGAGAUGGCAUCAUACUGGUAGAGGUCCACAGUGACAUCAGUGGAGUUCUUUACGUGGGACACUUCAUGACAGUCAGUGCGAGAAUUUACCAUCAAUCCUCUCUCUGGCUGUCACGUUUGCUUCUUCUGCAGACCUCUGUCUCAACUGAGACGUGAGCCCA
Molecule: long non-coding RNA, 290 nt
Organism: Haplochromis burtoni (Burton's mouthbrooder)
Lineage: Eukaryota; Metazoa; Chordata; Actinopteri; Cichliformes; Cichlidae
Exons: 3
Source: RefSeq, a predicted model, not a curated record